CCCUGCAGGGACACCAUCCCCGGCCCGGCCCCGCCCCCCGCAGGCCCCAUGGCCGCCUUCCCGGGGGAGGACGAGGACGAGGAGGAGGAGGAGAAGAAAGAGAAAGAGAAAGAGGAGGAGAAGGGGGGACAGAGCGGCAGAGAGAGGUGUAAGAGACUGCAUCGGAUGGUCUGGACUGGAGGCGUGGAAAUCCAUUUUCUUGCUGCGUAUCCAGACCCCGAUCCCAGCGGACCAGGCGCAGCCACCAGCUCCACGAGGGCCUAGCUGACAUGCGGAGAACAGACUUCACAAUCUAUGAGAUUGUAAAGUAGUACUCCUAAGCUGCAGAACCAGCCUCAAAGGCACUAUGGAAUGACUUCUCCAAUGAGCUUGGCUUCUCCUAAGGAUACAGAUUGCAUUCAUACUCAGAAGCUGGUUGAAGUGAUGAAAGCAUGUGGGGUAUUUGAAGAUGAGGAAGAACUGAAUCACAGGCUGGUGUGAUGGUCUGACAAAUUAUAGUCAAUGUCUCAAACAUUCAUUAAAGAACUUUAGUGGAGAAAACGGCCUCUGUAAAAAUGCUGGAGUUUUGUGAACAGGACAAUGUGGCCAGAGGAGAGGGCCCCACGGAGGGUGGGACCACUCUUCUCCAAAGCCACAACUCCUUAUCUUAAGUGACCAGGAGAAGGAGCACAGCACAUGCACCUGGAGGAGGAGGCCCCACGGAGGAUGGGACUGUGCUUCUAUCUUAAGCGGUCAUGCCAGCAGGGAAAAAGAGGCAACUCCACAAUGAACCCCCCCCCCCCAAAGCUCACCGACCGAUUCCAGAGAACCCCGGGAACGGGAACUGUGCAUGUCAAGACUGUCAGCUAACACACUAUAAAAGAAGGGAGAACGAGUUCUCAUUGUGCGGCCUCUGGAACUGGAUCUCUACGCUGGCCAGACCAACGCUGGACCCGGGAC
Molecule: long non-coding RNA, 939 nt
Organism: Harpia harpyja (harpy eagle)
Lineage: Eukaryota; Metazoa; Chordata; Aves; Accipitriformes; Accipitridae
Exons: 4
Source: RefSeq, a predicted model, not a curated record